RNAcentral lists this unclassified non-coding RNA (309 nucleotides) under uncultured Rickettsia sp. Lineage: Bacteria; Pseudomonadati; Pseudomonadota; Alphaproteobacteria; Rickettsiales; Rickettsiaceae. The record is from RNAcentral.
UGUGGAAGCACAGUAAUGUGUGUAGCUAACCGAUACUAAUAGCUCGAUUGACUUACUUUGCUAUGAGAUUACAUAUGCAUAUAGUGUUAAUGCUAUAAGAGUGUAGUAUCUACUCACAAAGUUAUCAGGUUAAAUAGUUUUAUCAACUAAUAAAAAUGUUAUUGCAUAACUAAUGUUAUGCUGUAGCCCCUGCCACGAUAUCUAGCGAAAUUAUUUUGCUGAGUAUCGUAGUAAAAGUUAAGAUAUGAUGUUGAGAAUUUUUUUGAGUCGUGCAACAACAUUAACAGCAAACUAUAAUACAAAUCUAUC